RNAcentral lists this ribosomal RNA (307 nucleotides) under Gymnoascus reessii. RNAcentral describes it as "Gymnoascus reesii partial small subunit ribosomal RNA". The record is from RNAcentral. Lineage: Eukaryota; Fungi; Ascomycota; Eurotiomycetes; Onygenales; Gymnoascaceae.
AAGUUUUAAGAAGAAUAUUCUAAUCUCGCUUAUUGAUAUGCUCCUCCGCAGGUUCACCUACGGAAUGCUCCUCCGCUUAUUGAUAUGCUCCUCCGGAUGUUCUCCUACGGAGUCCUCCGCUGGUAGUUGAGCUCCUCCGCAGGAUCAACGAUUACGGAUUGGGCCGGGAGAUGGGAGUGCAAUCCGAACUGAGAUGGCGUUUGGAUAUGACCUUACGCUCGCCAGCUCCCUGCCCAUUGUCGCCACCAUUGUAGCAUUCAUAUAUUCGAUCAUGUUCUGGCCUUGGGGACUUGAUUUCUUCCCCAAC